AAAGAGGAGCCUGCUGGUCUGCUGGCGGGCAGGCGGCGCUGGGCCGGAGCCUCUCCCUCCGGUGCGCACAGCGCACCCUCUCCUCCCCCGGCCGCCCGUCGCAGCGCGGAGAGGGCGUGUCGGCACCCUGCCUGGCGAGCGCCCACCCCUACAAUGGCUGCGAGCGCGCGGGACGGAGGGUGCACCGCCGCUCCCCGGGGACUUGCACGGGUGGCGCGCCUAGCCCAGAGCCCGCUUGUAGUGAGCGCUCAGUAGGGCGGGAAAGCUGCUGCCGCUACUGCGGCCUUCUGAGAAGACGCCCAUUCUCUGAUGUCAGGACUGCAUCGCCGAGUCCUGAUUGCAAAUAGCGAAAUAUAUAAUUAAGGAGAGUUCGGGGGCGUAUCCUGCAAUGGGAUGCCGAGUUCGAUAAAGUUGCAGGAUGCUGGGAAAGUGGAUUGAUUUGCUGUUGCUAAAUGAAUGGAAACAGCGUUAGAGCUUCUGUCCACGAUCCAUCAGUCUAUCGAGAUUGCUGAUUGCCUAUGACUUGGACGGUUGAUGGUUUUCAGGCCCACUGAGAGCAGCCAGCGUUGGUAUAACCGCAGGGAGCCCUCCUGGGAGGUUGAACCUGCAGAGCGCAAAUGUGCCCAGGUUGAUUUGGGGCCUAGUGGUCCAUUUUCACAGCUCCACUGCCUAUCUGCAUAACCAGGAGCCCUCAUUCAGAUGAACGCCAAAUGGGCCAGAGGGAGGAGAAUCAAAUGAGCAACUUUUAAAAGAUAUUAAGACAUAGGCACCUAACUCCGGACAGUUCCUUUAACCCUUGAGCUAACCAUUUGAAGCACAAAACAUAACAAAAGAAAAGACUGGGGGGAGUGGGGCCAAAAGAAACCAAGUGCAAAAUUCUGUACACUUGUGUCAGAUUCACUCCGUAAUGGGAAAAGGUCUGGCUUUGAAAACUUUAUGGAUCAAAGGGAUGCAUGGAGUUACACAGCACAGCUGCAGAAGAUAAUGUUCCCCUGGAUCACUCUGCCCAACUCUUAACUGCAACCCACCUUCCCCAUCCGUCUCCCCGAAAUCACCCGGAAGGGUGUUACCUUCAGGAAGUAACUGAUCUCUUGAUCACCCCUGCUGGAUCCUGUCCCCAAGGGCGUUCGAAUGCAUCCGACUCAUCUUCACCUUGCCAAUAACGGGUGCUUGACACAUCGUUUGCUGCCAAUCAUUAUUGUGAUUUUAAUACUAUUGGUAUUCUAACUAUCAAGAUGACUGCUUGUAGAGCCAGAUUGCCUGGAUUCAAACUCCAGUUCACAACCUACUAACUGUAUGCCUUUAGGUAAACUCAGAUGCCUCUGAUGGAUUCGAAAUAACCAGAUAUAUUUCUGAAUUGCUUCAUAUGAAACAGUUGGGAAAAGAGAUUAAGGAAGGGAUGGUGCUGUUGGCUCCAGGCAGUGACUCAAGGAGGCAUUCAUGGUGAAAGAAGAAAGGCCUUUCUCAGGUGAUGCUUCAUCUUCCCCCACGUGCUCUGAUACCCUGUCCCUGCCUUGAUGUGUCUAUAAAUACAAACAGCAGGAGACCCGCAUCAGUAGACAAAGCAGGUGGCUGCAACCUAUUCUUCUUCCCAAUGGCCACUGGGACAGUUCCUCUCCCCCAGAACUUGUUGUUUAUAUUUAUUUUACACUAAAGCUAUUUUAACAUAAACCUGUUGAAAUAGGAGAGGGCUUCCCAUCUCACACCUCCACAGAUGUGUAUUUUCUAGAACAAAUUCAAGACUAAUCAUAAAAUGAAAACAGAUUUCCACAAAGUUGUUCUUUAUAAUGUAAAUUUUUUUCUGACAGGCAGCUUAAUACUUCAAAGGGCAACCCAUUCCUUUAUUGAUUAUAACUAAUUGUUUGAGAUUUUCUUUAGCAUGAGUUGAAAUUUUUCUUCCUUUGUCAAAGUGAAGGAAGGGACUUGUAUACAAGGAAGGUCCUUGUAUAAAGGACCUAUCAUCAAGGUACCAUCUCUCUUUAAACUUUAACUCCCAGAGGAGAAAUACCUAUAGCCACACAAUUCAUGUACUUUUUAGUCAUUGGAUCUCUAUGACUAUUAUCAUUAUAGAAACUGUUUUAAUAUAAUAAUAAUUUGAAAACUGGAUUUUAAGAAUACAAAUUUAGAAAUAGCAGUUCUCUCUAGAGACUCAUUCAUGAAUAUGGAAAGAUCUUUUAUCAGAUAAUUCCCCCCAGGGGUCCUUUAAAUAGCAAUCUCCUUCGUUUUGAUUCAAUUUGUAGAAAUCCCAUCUAGAUGCAUUACUGGACCACACAUUGUGUAAAGGAAGGUACAUUAUGUGUUGGGUAACCAUUUGGCUCUCUCUUUCUUCCCAACUUGUGACUAAUUGAUUUUGCCAUUAAUUGGGAUUUCCCCUGGAGGCCAUUUGAUCUGUUUGCAGGAUGAGCAGGGAGUUAGGGCAGUCCCUCCAGAUGGGACGGCUUUCAAUAAGCAGACAGUCCAAAGGGGCAUCAGAGUGAUACAGAAACGAUUAAUUGAAUAACUCACUUGAAAAUCAUGUGCUGCUUUAAAGACCUAAAAGCUAAGUAAAUACCUAAGUAAAGGCCAUACUGAUCAAGUAAGACUCCUUGUUGCAGCCUGGCUGAGAAUAAUGCCAGGAAAAAAAAAAUUUAAGAGCAUCCCAUUAAUGGAUUCUUUAAAAUACUGGAAGCAUGAUUCCAGGCAAUAACAUACUGUAAUCCCCAUAAUACUCACAUUUGCAUAACUCUAGAUAAUUUAUGAAGCAUUUUCGCAGAUACUGUGCAGAUCUCACACUGACACGGGGGUGGGUUGGCUGUGAAAGGGCUCAACUGGACUUACAUUCCAGGAGCAGAAACAGGCUUGGAGCUGUGGACUUCUCAGAGGCAUACAACUAGUAAGUGGCAGAAAUAUUACCAGAACCCAAAACUUCUAAUUCUAAAUUUCUUGACAACACACAGCACCAUCUCCCCAGUGCAUCACAGCUAAAACCACCUUACUGGACUCUGUUUUACCCUGGAGAAGAAAUGCAUACUGACUGAGGACUCUGCUCCAUGCCUGGCAAAAUAUUUGUAUUAUUUUUACAAGUAUGUUUUAGUUUUAUACAGAUAAAUACAAUUUUAAAUGGUUAAAGAUGGCCUCAUAUUUAAAAAGCACAUUGGGAGCCACUGUGUUAGAUUAUGCAGUGCAGACAUAGAGAACCAAA
Molecule: long non-coding RNA, 3181 nt
Filed under: Homo sapiens (human)
Lineage: Eukaryota; Metazoa; Chordata; Mammalia; Primates; Hominidae
Description: non-protein coding lnc-NDUFB9-2:4
Source: RNAcentral